RNAcentral lists this ribosomal RNA (496 nucleotides) under Terebellides sp. LA1. RNAcentral's name for it is "partial large subunit ribosomal RNA". It matches the Rfam family "Bacterial large subunit ribosomal RNA", at positions 1930 to 2611 of the family's 2925-position model. The record is from RNAcentral. Lineage: Eukaryota; Metazoa; Annelida; Polychaeta; Terebellida; Trichobranchidae.
UUUGCGGUAUCCCUGACCGUGCUAAGGUAGCGUAAUAAAUCGCCCUUUAAUUGUGGGCUUGUAUGAAAGGACACACGAAGACCUUACUGUCUCCUAAAUAAAAAUAAAAAUUAGUCUUCAGGUGAAGAAACCUGAAUCAUUUAAAAGGACAAAAAGACCCCGUAGAGCUCUGUAAAUCUUACAUACCUCAUACUUUAUAUUUAAAGCACAAAUACCAAAACAUUUACUUAGCUGGGGCGGCUAAGGAAUAUUUAUCUUCCAUUUCCAUAGACCUUAAUUCUUAGCACCCACAGGCCAUUCUAGCCAUAAACCUUAAAUUGAUCCUUCAAAAGAUCAUAAAACAAGCUACCUCGGGGCUAACAGAUUUAUCCUCUUCGAGAGUACAUAUCGACAAGAGGGCUUGACACCUCGAUGUUGGCUUAGAGUACCCAGGGAGUCAGCAACAGCCCCCAACGGUUGGUUUGUUCAACCAUUAAAACUCUACAUGAUCUGAGUU